RNAcentral lists this transfer RNA (75 nucleotides) under Chlorobium sp. RNAcentral describes it as "tRNA-Lys". It matches the Rfam family "tRNA". Rfam says of the family: Transfer RNA (tRNA) molecules are approximately 80 nucleotides in length. Lineage: Bacteria; Pseudomonadati; Chlorobiota; Chlorobiia; Chlorobiales; Chlorobiaceae. The record is from RNAcentral.
GCAUCCGUGGCUCAAUGGCAGAGCAACUGACUCUUAAUCAGUGGGUUGGAGGUUCGACUCCUCCCGGGUGCACCA